RNAcentral lists this ribosomal RNA (55 nucleotides) under uncultured fungus. RNAcentral's name for it is "partial 28S ribosomal RNA". The record is from RNAcentral. Lineage: Eukaryota; Fungi.
AUUUGACCUCUCUCGGGUGGGACUACCCGCUGAACUUAAGCAUAUCAAUAAGCGG